CAUGCGGCAGCUAUACAUGCAAGUCGAGCGGACAGAUGGGAGCUUGCUCCCUGAUGUUAGCGGCGGACGGGUGAGUAACACGUGGGUAACCUGCCUGUAAGACUGGGAUAACUCCGGGAAACCGGGGCUAAUACCGGAUGCUUGUUUGAACCGCAUGGUUCAAACAUAAAAGGUGGCUUCGGCUACCACUUACAGAUGGACCCGCGGCGCAUUAGCUAGUUGGUGAGGUAAUGGCUCACCAAGGCAACGAUGCGUAGCCGACCUGAGAGGGUGAUCGGCCACACUGGGACUGAGACACGGCCCAGACUCCUACGGGAGGCAGCAGUAGGGAAUCUUCCGCAAUGGACGAAAGUCUGACGGAGCAACGCCGCGUGAGUGAUGAAGGUUUUCGGAUCGUAAAGCUCUGUUGUUAGGGAAGAACAAGUGCCGUUCAAAUAGGGCGGCACCUUGACGGUACCUAACCAGAAAGCCACGGCUAACUACGUGCCAGCAGCCGCGGUAAUACGUAGGUGGCAAGCGUUGUCCGGAAUUAUUGGGCGUAAAGGGCUCGCAGGCGGUUUCUUAAGUCUGAUGUGAAAGCCCCCGGCUCAACCGGGGAGG
This 600-nucleotide ribosomal RNA is filed under the name Bacillus vallismortis. RNAcentral's name for it is "bacterial SSU rRNA". It matches the Rfam family "Bacterial small subunit ribosomal RNA", at positions 36 to 621 of the family's 1533-position model. Lineage: Bacteria; Bacillati; Bacillota; Bacilli; Caryophanales; Bacillaceae. The record is from RNAcentral.